GGUUGGAGGACAGGCCAAUCGCUCCCGGCUAUUUGAGCCAAUGGAGAAGUUCCUGAUGCCCACACCUGCUGGUCUCACCGCCAGGGCCUGGGCAUCACAGGCAGGGGGAAUGGGGAGGGGACGGUAGCGUCAGCCUACACCCACACGCAGUUUCCUGAUAAAAGGUCCUUUGGAAACUUUGAUUCUCUUCUCACCAAGUUGAACGGAGAUGUGUUCCCAUAGUAAGAGUGAGGCCCCUGCAUUUGCUGCCCUCGGUUUUCCCAACUAACACCAUGGCCUCCCCCCUGUACCCCAUUCAUACGCCUCAGAAGCUGACAAUGACUGUUGGGCUUUUCCAACGAAUACCAGAACACCAUUUCCUGCAGCCUGAAAAGAAGACAGUAUAAUUAUUUGGCAGCAAGAGGCCAAGCAGGAAACUAGAGAUAUGGUGAUGGUAGUGGUCCCAAGGAGGAGCUUUAACCUGAGCACCACCCACAGAAGGCAGACCACCCUCCCAGCCGCAGUGCAAAUGAAUGUUGGCCCCCACCCAGGUCCUCAAGUG
RNAcentral lists this long non-coding RNA (541 nucleotides) under Pan troglodytes (chimpanzee). Its description in RNAcentral is "lincRNA". Lineage: Eukaryota; Metazoa; Chordata; Mammalia; Primates; Hominidae. The record is from RNAcentral.